Non-coding RNA from Frankia sp., 123 nucleotides. The record is from Rfam. Lineage: Bacteria; Bacillati; Actinomycetota; Actinomycetes; Frankiales; Frankiaceae.
GGAGGAUUGUCGGCCCUCCAGCGUCGUCCAUGCGGGGGAGGGCGCUAAACCACCCUGUGCCGCGUUGGCUGAAGACCGUCGUGGUGAGCGACAGGGAAAAGACACGGCGAGAUCGUGUCAGGU